GCAUUUAACUAGAGCAUUUUAUUUUCAAGGGAAAUAAUUGUGGUCUGACUGUAUUAUUUUGAAAAUCACAGUUGAGAUUUUUUUAUGUGUGCACCGGUACAGUUUUGCGGGGAAGCGAAAGUUGACAUGGAAUUUUGUCUUCUUCUAAAAACAAGUGUCUGAUACAUGCAGUUGCAGUCUGUCUUUGGAAGCUGUAGAAAUAACAAGAAAGAGGCUGACAUAGUGUUUUGGUAGGGAAAAGUUUGAGUAUGUACAUGUACAGUUGUUUGACCUUUCUUACCCUGUGGCAGUCCAAGAAGAUGUUACCAUUAUGAAAAAUGCAGGAGAACUUGAAGACAAUUGUUAGUGUAGAAGGGACAUAAAAGUUAUGACAAAAGUAACAGAUAUAAAUAAGCUCAGUUGAAGGAGAUGAAGUUUGAACAAGGCACAGUGAAAAUUGCAGACUCGGUUUGAUUGAGUCUGUUCAUGAGCAGUAAUGGAAAAUGCAACACUGCCCACGCCCCCUAGCACCGGCUUAAGCAGUAUUCAAUCUUCAAAUCUAAAUGAGUUGAAAUCAAUGAUCCCGAAGGACCAGAUAAUAUAACAACACUGAGAUGAAGUCGGGGCGACUUUUUACGGCCGCCACACAGCACUUAACACCCGCUGUUGUGAAGUAAAUAUAAUCUGAAAAGUAGAUCCCUCGGAAGCAACAUACAUUGAUUUUCUGACAGUCAUGUGUUAUUACAUUUGAACUCAGACUGUUUUAUAAUCAGUUUUGGUAGGGAAAAGUUUGAGUAUGUACAUGUACAGUUGUUUGACCUGUCUUACCCUGUGGCAGUCCAAGAAGAUGUUACCAUUAUGAAAAAUGCAGGAGAACUUGAAGACAAUUGUUAGUGCAGAAGGGACAUAAAAGUUAUGACAAAAGUAACAGAUAUAAAUAAGAAGUGCUACAAGUGUGUUGUCAUGUGAAAUGGAAUUUACCCCAACUGUGCUGCAAGAUGUAUAUUCAAGUGCAAGACAGCCAUGCACCAGCUGUAAACUGAGAUGGACCCAUAUAAUAAAUAUGUUGACUUUUCUAUGUAUUAUCAUCUGUACAGAAUGUGUUCAUGGCAAGACUGUAUACAUAUAUUGUUAAAUCAUUUUUUAUUUCCAUUAUUGCAUGCAUGUAAGAAGCAAGCAUUUAACAAUUGCAUUCAUAGAAGUGUUAAAAUGUGAUCAAUCUAAUUUAAAGAAACACAUUUGAUUGGACUUUUUAAGUUUCAUAGUAUUUGUGGUGGAGACUGACCCAGUCAUUCAGCAACUUAUACUGUCUGUGUGUCAUUUCUUGUAUGUUAUAGUUUUCUUAAUAAUACAUUAAAUGUCAAAGUUAUGGUAAGAUGAACUCAUUCAUCACUUGUAGAUUAAUGUUAAAGCAGUUCAACAUUUUACCAUAAGUUAACUAAUAUUCUAUUUAACCAGAGUUGUCACAUAUUUUCAUAUAAAUAUUUGUAUAAUACAGUCUAAUCUUAUCUACAUAUGAUGUUCCACAAUUUUUAGUUAUAUUUUAUGUUGAUAUUUUAUGUUGUUUUCAUGUCUCAACAUAUAAUUACUAACAUCAAAGAAACUUAAGUAUUUUACAAUUUGGUUGGUAUAAAUGGUUGUUUUGUUUAUAUAUUUUAUUUUUUUCCAUCCAGGAGAAUAAAGAAAUAUACAUUUCAAAAUAUCUCAUCAUUCUAGAUAAGUACACUACAUAAUCAAGAUAAAAGAAAUAAGAACAAAAUAUGUUGGUGGAAUUUUAUUUUCAAAAAUUUGAUAUACAGUCUUUGUAGUAUUUACUUCUUUAGAUAUGUUGGACUGAAAUGGGAAUAACAACAUACUUUAAAUUUUUGUUGUCAUAAGUUAAUAUAGGAAUUAUUAACUUAACUUAAAAAGAUUUUAUCUCACUGUUAUGCAAUCUGAGCUUUAAUAUUUUUCAACAUUGUCAUUGGCAACAAGGCUCAAAAUUAUUUGUUGUGUAUACCUUGCAUUCAUGUGUGAUAAAUGCUUUUAUGGUAUUCUUUAAUAUAAUAUAUGCUUUUCAUCUUACCAUGGAUUAAAAAAAUAUAAAUUUAUUUGUCUGAAAAUUAAGGUAAAAAUACUGACUGAUUAAAUUGCAAUAUAAGAAAGCUUAUUUGAGAUAAAGGGAGGUAAUUCCAUAAAAAAUAUGUAGAAUGUAGAUGAUAAAUGUAAUGAAGGGAGGUAAUA
This is a long non-coding RNA of Mercenaria mercenaria, 2202 nucleotides long. RefSeq lists it as uncharacterized. The transcript has 8 exons. NCBI's taxonomy places the organism in Eukaryota, Metazoa, Mollusca, Bivalvia, Venerida, Veneridae. The record is from RefSeq and is a predicted model, not a curated record.